RNAcentral lists this transfer RNA (69 nucleotides) under Anopheles peryassui. Its description in RNAcentral is "tRNA-Met". It matches the Rfam family "tRNA". From Rfam's summary of the family: Transfer RNA (tRNA) molecules are approximately 80 nucleotides in length. Lineage: Eukaryota; Metazoa; Arthropoda; Insecta; Diptera; Culicidae. The record is from RNAcentral.
AAAAAGAUAAGCUAAUUAAGCUAUUGGGUUCAUACCCCGCUUAUAAAGGUUGUAAUCCUUUUCUUUUUA